UACAGAGGGUGCGAGCGUUAAUCGGAAUUACUGGGCGUAAAGCGUGCGCAGGCGGUUUCUUAAGUCAGAUGUGAAAGCCCCGGGCUUAACCUGGGAACUGCGUUUGAAACUGGGAGACUAGAGUGUGGCAGAGGGGGGUGGAAUUCCACGUGUAGCAGUGAAAUGCGUAGAUAUGUGGAGGAACACCGAUGGCGAAGGCAACCCCCUGGGUUAACACUGACGCUCAUGCACGAAAGCGUGGGGAGCAAACAGG
This 253-nucleotide ribosomal RNA is filed under the name uncultured bacterium. RNAcentral's name for it is "partial 16S ribosomal RNA". It matches the Rfam family "Bacterial small subunit ribosomal RNA", at positions 524 to 776 of the family's 1533-position model. The record is from RNAcentral.